Molecule: ribosomal RNA, 1152 nt
Filed under: Triticum aestivum (bread wheat)
Lineage: Eukaryota; Viridiplantae; Streptophyta; Magnoliopsida; Poales; Poaceae
Description: partial small subunit ribosomal RNA
Source: RNAcentral
AUGUAUUCCUCGGAGGAACCGGACGACGUUACAACUUUUCCACAGGCCUGGACUGCAGGCGUUCCUUUCCUCGUCGCUCUUUCGUGCUGUCCCGCCGCCUGCUCCGCAUUCCCAGGGGCCGCCUGCUCCUCACCACAUCUACACCCAGGCGGCGGCAAGGGCGGGGCUUCCAUGAGCAGGACGGCGGCGGCCUCGUGGCGGCGUCGCCCGUCGGCGAAGGGAGCCGUGGAGCCGGAGGCCGCUGGAAUUCCUCGGACGCUGCAGCUCGGCGCCAUGAUCCUCGUCUUGUGCGUCCUGAACAUCUACUUCAAUAUUUACAACAAGCCGGUUCAGAGAGUAUUUCCCUUCCCAUACACCAUCACCACCUUCCACUUCGCAUUCAGCUCCUUCUUCAUCACUCUCAUCUGGCUGCUAAACCUGCAUCCCAAACCAAGGCUCUCCCUUCAACAGUACGCAAAGAUCCUUCCUUUGGCGCUAAUACACGUGAUGGCCAUUGUCUUCGCCAACAUGAGUUUGGGCAAGGUGGCGGUCUCCUUCACGCACACCAUCAAGGCAGGGAACGCCGUUCCACUCUCCGUCUUGUUGCUCAGGCAGACACCUUCUCUACUUGUAUUAGGUUCUCUCGGGUCGGUUGUUGGUGGAGUUGUACUGGCAUCUAUGACUGAAAUUUCUUUCAACUGGAUAGGAUUUUGCAGUGCCAGGGAUUCCAAUGACCAAUCGCGAAAUGCUUUCAGCAAGAAAAUUCUUGCUGAUAAAGAGGAAAAAUUGGACUAUAUAAAUCUCUUUUCAAUUAUGACUAUCAUGUCAUUUUUGUGUUCGGUCCCGUUAACGCUAUAUCUAGAGGGCAUAAAGUUUAGCCCGCUGUUCCUACGGAGCACUGGGUUAAAUCUUCAAGAACUAUGCCUGAAAGCGGGCAUUGCGGCCACUUGUUUCCAUUUUUACCAACAGGUUUCAUAUAGUUUAUUGGCCAGAAUAUUACCUGUAACCCGUUCUCUUGCAGACUUCUUCAAACGAGUUGUCAUCAUAUCAUAUGUUCUCUUCUUCAGAACUCCAAUUUCACCUAUAAAUGUCCUUGGAACUGGUCUGCCUCUACUCGGUGUUUUCAUGUACUCUAGAUUCAAGAAAGCAAAAUCAAAGACAAAUGCUGCAUAA